AGGAAAUGGAAGAGGAUUAAGAGGUUUAGAAGAGGAUUAAGAGGAAAUGGAAGAGGAUUAAGAGGUUUAGAAGAGGAUUAAGAGGAAAUGGAAGAGGAUUAAGAGGUUUAGAAGAGGAUUAAGAGGAAAUGGAAGAGGAUUAAGAGGUUUAGAAGAGGAUUAAGAGGAAAUGGAAGAGGAUUAAGAGGUUUAGAAGAGGAUUAAGAGGAAAUGGAAGAGGAUUAAGAGGUUUAGAAGAGGAUUAAGAGGAAAUGGAAGAGGAUUAAGAGGUUUAGAAGAGGAUUAAGAGGAAAUGGAAGAGGAUUAAGAGGUUUAGAAGAGGAUUAAGAGGAAAUGGAAGAGGAUUAAGAGGUUUAGAAGAGGAUUAAGAGGAAAUGGAAGAGGAUUAAGAGGUUUAGAAGAGGAUUAAGAGGAAAUGGAAGAGGAUUAAGAGGUUUAGAAGAGGAUUAAGAGGAAAUGGAAGAGGAUUAAGAUGUUUAGAAGAGGAUUAAGAGGAAAUGGAAGAGGAUUAAGAGGU
This is a long non-coding RNA of Eriocheir sinensis (Chinese mitten crab), 517 nucleotides long. RefSeq lists it as uncharacterized. NCBI's taxonomy places the organism in Eukaryota, Metazoa, Arthropoda, Malacostraca, Decapoda, Varunidae. The transcript is spliced from 3 exons. The record is from RefSeq and is a predicted model, not a curated record.